RNAcentral lists this transfer RNA (56 nucleotides) under Goniomonas pacifica. Its description in RNAcentral is "partial tRNA". It matches the Rfam family "tRNA", at positions 11 to 63 of the family's 71-position model. From Rfam's summary of the family: Transfer RNA (tRNA) molecules are approximately 80 nucleotides in length. Their secondary structure includes four short double-helical elements and three loops (D, anti-codon, and T loops). Further hydrogen bonds mediate the characteristic L-shaped molecular structure. tRNAs have two regions of fundamental functional importance: the anti-codon, which is responsible for specific mRNA codon recognition, and the 3' end, to which the tRNAs corresponding amino acid is attached (by aminoacyl-tRNA synthetases). tRNAs cope with the degeneracy of the genetic code in two manners: having more than one tRNA (with a specific anti-codon) for a particular amino acid; and 'wobble' base-pairing, i.e. permitting non-standard base-pairing at the 3rd anti-codon position. Lineage: Eukaryota; Cryptophyceae; Goniomonadida; Goniomonadaceae. The record is from RNAcentral.
UCUAAUUGGUAAAGAGGACGCGUUUAGGCCGCGUAUAUACAGGUUCGAGUCCUGUA